This 432-nucleotide ribosomal RNA is filed under the name uncultured Bacillus sp. Its description in RNAcentral is "bacterial SSU rRNA". It matches the Rfam family "Bacterial small subunit ribosomal RNA", at positions 24 to 446 of the family's 1533-position model. Lineage: Bacteria; Bacillati; Bacillota; Bacilli; Caryophanales; Bacillaceae. The record is from RNAcentral.
UCAGGACGAACGCUGGCGGCGUGCCUAAUACAUGCAAGUCGAGCGGACCUUUGGGAGCUUGCUCCCAAAGGUUAGCGGCGGACGGGUGAGUAACACGUGGGCAACCUGCCUAUGAGACUGGGAUAACUCCGGGAAACCGGGGCUAAUACCGGAUAAUCCUUUUCUACACAUGUAGAAAAGCUGAAAGAUGAUUUCGGCUAUCACUCAUAGAUGGGCCCGCGGCGCAUUAGCUAGUUGGUGAGGUAACGGCUCACCAAGGCGACGAUGCGUAGCCGACCUGAGAGGGUGAUCGGCCACACUGGGACUGAGACACGGCCCAGACUCCUACGGGAGGCAGCAGUAGGGAAUCUUCCGCAAUGGACGAAAGUCUGACGGAGCAACGCCGCGUGAGUGAUGAAGGUUUUCGGAUCGUAAAACUCUGUUGCUAGGGAA